This 450-nucleotide ribosomal RNA is filed under the name uncultured prokaryote. RNAcentral describes it as "bacterial SSU rRNA". It matches the Rfam family "Bacterial small subunit ribosomal RNA", at positions 42 to 482 of the family's 1533-position model. The record is from RNAcentral.
GCAGGCUUAACACAUGCAAGUCGAGCGGAAACGAAGAGGUGCUUGCACCUCUGGCGUCGAGCGGCGGACGGGUGAGUAAUGCUUGGGAAUAUGCCUUAUGGUGGGGGACAACAGUUGGAAACGACUGUUAAUACCGCAUGAUGUCUACGGACCAAAGUGGGGGACCUUCGGGCCUCACGCCAUAAGAUUAGCCCAAGUGGGAUUAGCUAGUUGGUGAGGUAAUGGCUCACCAAGGCGACGAUCCCUAGCUGGUUUGAGAGGAUGAUCAGCCACACUGGGACUGAGACACGGCCCAGACUCCUACGGGAGGCAGCAGUGGGGAAUAUUGCACAAUGGGCGCAAGCCUGAUGCAGCCAUGCCGCGUGUGUGAAGAAGGCCUUCGGGUUGUAAAGCACUUUCAGUAAGGAGGAAAGGUUAAGUGUUAAUAGCACUUAGCUGUACGUUACUUAC